RNAcentral lists this transfer RNA (155 nucleotides) under Candidatus Woesearchaeota archaeon. RNAcentral describes it as "tRNA-Gly". Lineage: Archaea; Nanobdellati; Candidatus Woesearchaeota. The record is from RNAcentral.
GCGCUGAUGGUCUAAUGGUUACAAUCUUUUAGGAAAAGCUUGACCAAAACUUGUGGGUUUCCUCACUACGUUCGUCAAGCCCACUAAAAAAAGAUUGCUGUAAAUGACUGUGGCCUUCCAAGCCGCGUAUCUGGGUUCGAAUCCCAGUCAGCGCA